Erythranthe guttata (spotted monkey flower) is the source of this 475-nucleotide non-coding RNA. The record is from RefSeq and is a predicted model, not a curated record. NCBI's taxonomy places the organism in Eukaryota, Viridiplantae, Streptophyta, Magnoliopsida, Lamiales, Phrymaceae.
CUCCUCGUUCACCACUGACUAGUGCGCCUCCGGCGGAGAUUUCGGCGACUGCUGUACGGAUCGACAGUGAGUUUGGGAGAACAAGUGAAGUUUACCUAGCCGGCGAACAUGAGGGCGAAGUGGAAGAAGAAGCGCAUGAGGAGGUUGAAGAGGAAGCGCCGAAAGAUGAGACAAAGAUCUAAGUAGAGAAAUGCACAAAGUCUAUGGAGAUGCCUCUCGUGCGCACGAACCAGCUUCUUUUACUCCUCUGCAUGCAAGGGAUUAAUUGAAGCAAAUUCGUUCGUUAAUGGGAGAUUGUCUUUUUUGCUUGUCAUGUUUCUAUUUAGGAACUUGGUUUCUUGUUUGAAUUUAGGUUGUUUUACAGAAUUUUGGCUUCUUUUUUUUUCGGUUUUAAUUGGAAGCAUCUAUGACAAUUUACUCCUUUUUGGAUCUUCGUAUUUGGUUAUAAUAUAACUAUAACAAUCGUUUUGAUGAA